UGACAAAAUAUACCAUUAUAAACUGAUCUACCGUAAAAAUACAAAUAAAAAAAACGACCACUGAAGCCCGCUUUAUUUAAACGGCGCGAGGUAAACCACUAAUCAGUAUAAUGUAUAAGUGCCAGUUCAUACACAGAACAUGUCUCAAACGGGAUUGUAUCCCAGGGUCAUCGGCUCUGGCUCUCUAAGCGGCCCAAGGCUUAGCCUUCACUUUCGCGUAUCCUGCGCCGCUCUGGUGAUUUUCCCACUUUAAAUCAGAUGGCGCGUGAGCCCUCUUUUUGAACCGGGCCGCCGCAGUGCCCUUACCCAGUUGGGUGUUGUCGGAUCAAAACUGCAUCCAUGAUCGCGUGCAUCGCGCCAGCAGCUGGUACAUUAUUCAUUUAUCUGCAGUUUUGUACGACGUACGACGUACAUGCUUCGCAGGUGCCUACAUUACCGACAUCGUCUUCCCUCCUGAACCAUGCUGUACCUUAUAGGCUUUGACCGGCUUCCUCUAUUGGCCGAGACCCUCUCUGGCCACAAACUGCUAAGCCGCGAUCCCCUCCCGUUACACUGCCAGCAGGUUGCCCCCUCCAGUGGCCAGUAAUACCUCUUGCGAGCCCGUGGAUACCGAUAUGCCCAUCAUGACCGGCCGACAUCGCGAACUCCCCGCCGGCUCCUGCGCAAGGGACAACGAUGCCGUGCGCCCCUCGGCUCAUGAUUCCUGUCGCGGGAGGCUGUGGCCUUAGCGUCUUGCUACUGCCAUGGCCCAUUCUGAUUUUUUCCGCUGGACUGUGGCAGCCACUGGCUGUCCUGCUGCGGCCAUAGCCGUAAUACCGCUGCUUUGUCACUGAGUCGAAAAUGUGGCGGGUAAGCUUUCCUGCAGCCCCCCAUUCAUACCCCACCGAAUCAAACGCUGGGCUUUAGCUUCGAGACGCAUGACCGCAAACCCGAGUCGUGGGAUACCAAUAAUAAUUAUUCAAUAAAAAUCAAGAAUAACAAUUAUAAUAAUAGUUAUACGAUAAAAGUCA
Molecule: long non-coding RNA, 1010 nt
Organism: Drosophila pseudoobscura
Lineage: Eukaryota; Metazoa; Arthropoda; Insecta; Diptera; Drosophilidae
Exons: 4
Source: RefSeq, a predicted model, not a curated record